GCGCAAAAUAACUGCCCAUGAACUGAGAAAAGUCAAGCGUGCAGCUACCAAGAUGCCACUUGCCACCAGUUUGGCCAUAUUUCAGAGCUGCAACAUCACUGGAGUGCCCAAAAGCACAAGGUGUGCAAUACUCAGAGACAUGGCCAAGGUAAGAAAGGCUGAAAGACGACCACCACUGAACAAGACACACAAGCUGAAACGUCAAGACUGGGCCAAGAAAUAUCUCAAGACUGAUUUUUCUAAGGUUUUAUGGACUGAUGAAAUGAGAGUGAGUCUUGAUGGGCCAGAUGGAUGGGCCCGUGGCUGGAUUGGUAAAGGGCAGAGAGCUCCAGUCCCACUCAGACGCCAGC
This is a long non-coding RNA of Oreochromis aureus, 350 nucleotides long. NCBI's taxonomy places the organism in Eukaryota, Metazoa, Chordata, Actinopteri, Cichliformes, Cichlidae. The record is from Ensembl.